RNAcentral lists this ribosomal RNA (207 nucleotides) under uncultured bacterium. RNAcentral describes it as "partial 16S ribosomal RNA". It matches the Rfam family "Bacterial small subunit ribosomal RNA", at positions 568 to 774 of the family's 1533-position model. The record is from RNAcentral.
AGCGCAGGCGGUGCGGCAAGUCUGAUGUGAAAGCCCGGGGCUCAGCCCCGGUACUGCAUUGGAAACUGUCGUACUAGAGUGUCGGAGGGGUAAGCGGAAUUCCUAGUGUAGCGGUGAAAUGCGUAGAUAUUAGGAGGAACACCAGUGGCGAAGGCGGCUUACUGGACGGUAACUGACGUUGAGGCUCGAAAGCGUGGGGAGCAAACA